GUGGUUUUAAAUAUAUUACAUCAAAAUUUAUAACAGAAUAAAAGUAAAUUCCAAAUCUAGGAUUUUAAUAACUCAAGUCCUUGUAUUUAAUUGUACACAUAGUAAAAUGAGAUGGUGAUAGACUUAACCAAAUCCACUUUUGGGUUGUAUGGAAUAAAAGCUUACUGAUUUUUAUCUGUUCUGUGUAAGUCUGAGCCUGAAGAUUUAAGGGUUUAAAAAACUAUAUGAUUUACUGGUUCAAACCAAGCCUCAUUUGAAAAAGCUAUCUAACAUUUG
RNAcentral lists this long non-coding RNA (276 nucleotides) under Mytilus galloprovincialis (Mediterranean mussel). The record is from RNAcentral. Lineage: Eukaryota; Metazoa; Mollusca; Bivalvia; Mytilida; Mytilidae.